AUGGCCACAUCCUGUUGAAACACCAGUUCUUAUACAAUCACUGAAGUUAAGCAAUGUUGAGACUAGUCAGUACCUAUAUGGGUGAUCGUUUGGGAAUACCAGGUGCU
Molecule: non-coding RNA, 107 nt
Organism: Acanthosepion pharaonis
Lineage: Eukaryota; Metazoa; Mollusca; Cephalopoda; Sepiida; Sepiidae
Source: the annotation of a GenBank genome assembly